Molecule: long non-coding RNA, 1566 nt
Organism: Sebastes umbrosus (honeycomb rockfish)
Lineage: Eukaryota; Metazoa; Chordata; Actinopteri; Perciformes; Sebastidae
Exons: 2
Source: RefSeq, a predicted model, not a curated record
CAGGACAGAUGAGCUGAUUCCUCAUCGUCUCAACACCAUCAUAGACAGCGACAGGAUACCGAUGAGUGCAGAGUCUUCUGACCACAACUGAGGAUGACGGACUUUCUUCAACCACGUCUUCAUCGUCUUCUUCUGCUGAAUGAAUGCAGACGGUGUACCCAGAAGGGUCGGAGGGGGUCAUGCAGGAGAAAUGCAGGGGUUUUGCAGGGAUUUUUCACUAAAUAAACAAUAAACAAUAAACAAUAAACAAUAAACAAUAAACAAUAAACAAUAAACAAUAAACAAACAAAAAAAAAAAAAAAACGCAUUUUUGUGUUUCAUAACCUCUCCGUGCUAUGUCUCCGAAAGCCCAGGAGGAGACGCACGUCUCAUACUCCCUUCGGUACCUGACACUUACGCCCCCACUACCCCGGGGAUUCGAACUCUAGUUCUUGUGUAACCACACAACCAUCCAAACCGAAUGUUCCGCCACCAACCCAUCAAUGCCAAGCACACUUGGACUGUUCUCCUGGUAACUUUGUCUUCGUCAUUGUGGAAGUUAGAUCUCAAAACUCACAUUAUAAGGAUCGAACCCACAACCUCCAGUCUUCUAACCCAGCUUCUAUCACUCUGAGCUAUCGGUCUUAACACUCUUAUGUAUUGUUUUUGGUCUUAUUUGACUUCUUCAUUUAGGAUGUUGGACCUUAAAACUUACCAGUGCAAUACAUAAGGAUUGAACCCACAACCUUCAGUAUCCCAACCCAGUAUCCAUCACUCUGAGCUAUAUGACCUGAUACACUGGAGUAGUGUUUCUUUAUAUACUUGACCUAUUUUUUGUGUAAGUUAGACCUCAAAAGUCACUGCUCCUUAUAAGGAUCGAACCCACAACCUCCAGUCUUCUAACCCAGCUUCUAUCACUCUGAGCUAGCAGUCUUAACACUCUUAUGUAUUGUUUUUGGUCAUAUUUGACUUCUACAUUUAGGAUGUUGGUCCUUAAAACUUACCAGUGCAAUACAUAAGGAUUGAACCCACAACCUUCAGUAUCCCAACCCGGUAUCCAUCACUCUGAACUAUAUGACCUGAUACACUGGAAUAGUGUUUCUUUAUAUACUUGACCUAUUUUUUGUGUAAGUUAGACCUCAAAAGUCACUGCUCCUCAUAAGAAUCGAACCCAUAACCUCCAGUAUUCCAACUCAGCUUCUAUCACCCUGAGCUAUCUGUCAUAACACGAGUGAUGCAUUUCUUGGUGUGUUUGACUUCUUCAUUUAGGAUGUUGGCCCUUAAAAAUUACUGCACCUUAUAAGGAUUGAACCCACAACCUCCUGUUUUCAAACCAGUCUUCUAUCACACUGAGCUAUCUGCUCAGAUACACUUCAUCAUUAUUUCGUUGCAUCUUUGACUUCAUUUUGGAUGUUAGACCUCAAAAUUCAUUGAACCACAUAAGGAUCGAACCUAUAACCUCAGGUCUUAGGACCUGCUCACCUGAGGUUAUCGAGUAGCAGUCAUAUCAGUCCUUUAUCCCGGUGAGCUAUUCCUGAGUUGAACAUUUUUUUUUUCGUUCUCAUAUUUGUUGUUCACACUACCGCA